GUGAACAUAUAAUAUGGGACACUAGCAGUGAAUAAUAUAUGUUUCAUGAGAGAUAUUUUUAUAUUUAAACAAUUUGAAAGCCUAUAUAUAUGUGACCUUACAUCAAGCAAGAAAAUACACUCUGUUAACAUGGCUAACAAGCUCUCUUUCUUCUUUUGCAUUCUCCUUGUUUCACUGGCUGUUGAUUCAUUUUGGUCCUCAAACACUCAAGUGAUGGCUCUGCGAGAUCUACCUUUAUUAGAAGAAGCUGUACAAGUGAUUAAGCAGGUUGUCCUCCCAGAUCUUCUAAAAUAUUAUAAAGGAUGUAACAAACCUUGCAAUUCUCAUGCAGAUUGCAAUUACAAAGGUGGACCGUGUACACAAUGUCGGCUCAAAUAUGGCAAGCGAUCCAAGUUUACCACAUGCCAAAUUUGGAAAAAUUGACCGAUCCAUUUGAAUGUCGUAUGAAAAAAGUAGUGUUUUCUAUAAUCUUAUCUGUAUUUCCUUUCUUUUUUGGUUUCUCAUUGAAUAAAGAAGUAGUUCUUAGUUAGUUUUACAUUUCUGUUCGUUUCUUGAUUGGAUUCACGUCAAAUAGUGAAAACUGUUUUGCCUAGUAAAGGCUGUUUUUUUUUUCUUAAAAAUUUUCCGCCGUAGAUGGCGUCUCCCUUGUAUUGAUAAAUACAUAGAGUACAGCAAAGAGGCAAGGCGAGCUUAGCUACCAGUAAAAGCUGUGGUGCAGCGAAUGAGGCUGCUCCUUCCUUAA
This is a long non-coding RNA of Lycium barbarum (goji berry), 742 nucleotides long. RefSeq lists it as uncharacterized. The record is from RefSeq and is a predicted model, not a curated record. NCBI's taxonomy places the organism in Eukaryota, Viridiplantae, Streptophyta, Magnoliopsida, Solanales, Solanaceae. The transcript has 2 exons.